This 253-nucleotide ribosomal RNA is filed under the name uncultured bacterium. RNAcentral describes it as "partial 16S ribosomal RNA". It matches the Rfam family "Bacterial small subunit ribosomal RNA", at positions 524 to 776 of the family's 1533-position model. The record is from RNAcentral.
UACAGGGGGGGCAAGCGUUGUUCGGAAUUACUGGGCGUAAAGGGUUCGUAGGUGGCCACUUAAGUCAGACGUGAAAUCCCUCAGCUUAACUGGGGAACUGCGUCUGAUACUGAGUGGCUUGAGUGCAGGAGAGGGAUGCAGAAUUCCAGGUGUAGCGGUGAAAUGCGUAGAUAUCUGGAGGAAUACCGGUGGCGAAGGCGGCAUCCUGGACCGGCAUUGACGCUGAGGAGCGAAAGCCAGGGGAGCAAACGGG